Molecule: RNA transcript, 17579 nt
Organism: Tribolium castaneum (red flour beetle)
Lineage: Eukaryota; Metazoa; Arthropoda; Insecta; Coleoptera; Tenebrionidae
Exons: 8
Source: RefSeq, a predicted model, not a curated record
UCUCGUUUCUAUUUUUUCGACCAAACCCUGAGCCUCUCCGGGCAACGGUUCCGGCUACAGAGGCGAUCAAAGUUUUUCACUAAAAAAAUUCAUAAAAAAAAAACUAAAAGUCGUAGAGCAUUGCGGUUUGUUCGAUUGAAUUCUACGGCUCAUUUUACAUAUUAUAUCGAUUUUUCACAAGAAUUAGAAAUUUAAAAUUUUUUGCCUAAAUUUAGGGUGGCCAUUUGUCUUAGUGAAAAAUUUUAUUCAUUAAAAAAAUUCAUAACUCGAAUAAAAGUCGUAGAGCAGUGCGGUUUGUUCCGUUGGAUUCAGCGGCUUUUUUUCUCUAUUAUACUAAUUUUUCACGCAAUUUAAAAUUUUCAAUUUUUUUGCUCAAAUUUCACCUUCAAAGAGGUGAAAAAAAAUAUUUUUUUUAAACUCACUCCAGUAGAUUUUUAUGGACUCUACAUGUCUUAACAACCCACAAAAGUUGUUAGAAGUCCACAAAAAGUCCAUAUGUUCGAUUUUUUGAUGUUUGAUUUUUUCAAUUUUCGUCGCAGUUUUUGUCGAUUUUGGGUACCCGGAACAUUUCUCGAGCAAUAGCUCCGGAACUAUUCGAGAUAACCCCAUGAAGUGUAGCAUCGUUGGAAAGCCCUUUUAAUGAUCUAUCAUUUGCAAAAAAGAUUAUUGUUGUCCGACUUAUAGUUUUCGAGAGAAUGCAAAUAAAAGCGAAAAUUAGAUCAUAUACUCAAAAAUUCAUAACUAAAAAACUAUUAGGAAUUUGGCAAUUUUCUUGAUGCCAAUCGAUUCCCCGGAUUAUUUUGCAUAGGUAUGGAUCAAAAUAGUUCCACUUUUUAGAAUAGUUUAGCCGUAAAUGAGAAAAUAAAAAAAAUAAAAAAAAUUUUACACCCCCCCGUUAGAAAUUUUUAAAAAUUUUUAAAGUGUCUCAAAAUCAAAUGAAACCGAUUCUAUCUUAUAGAUUUUGAUGUGCUCUUUCCGAUCUAAAAAAGCGUUUUCUUCUAGCUUUUUUAAUUUGGGCGUAAUCGGCGUUUGAAAAUUGAAAAUUUUUUUGGCGAGAAAUCGCUUUGAGUCCUAUGCCAUUUUGUAGAGUUUUUUAUUCCGGUUAUUCUCCAUUUUUCCGUUUCUCGAUAACUCUAAUAGUUUCGCCGUAAUUUUUUUUUCACCUCUUUGAAGGUAAGUGUAUUACUCAGGAAAUUUUAGCAAAAAAACUGAAAAUUUUAAAUCUCGUGAAAAGUUGGUAUAACACAGAAAAUGAGCCGCUGAAUUCAAUGGAACAAACCGCAUUGCUCUACGACUUUUAGUUUUCGAGUUAUGAAUUUUUUUGUUGAAUAAAACUUUUCACAAAAAAUUUUAAAUUUUUAAUUUUUGUGAAAAAUUGAUAUAAUAUGUAGAAUGAGCUGUAGAAUUCAAUGGAACAAACCGCAAUGCUCUACAACUUUUAGUUUUUUUUUUUUGAAUUUUUUUAAUGAAAAUCCAAAUCUGCCAGAAUCAGAUCACUACGACUAACCGUUCAGAAGAUAUCGGCAAAAAUAGAGAAAACUUUACAAAUUGAUUCAACUAAAUUUUUAUCAUUGACAAGCAAUUUUUUGGAGUUAUUUUCUUAUGAUUAAGUGUUUCUAACGUAGAAUGACCGGCGGAAUCUAAAUCUGCAAGAAUCGGAUCACUACGACUAACCUUUCAGAAGAUAUCGGGAAAAAUAUAGAAAACUUUACAAAUUGAUUCAACAAAAUUUUCAUCAUUGACAAGCAAUUUUUUGGAGUUAUUUUCUUAUGAUUAAGUGUUUCUAACGUAGAAUGACCGGCGGAAUCUAAAUCUGCAAGAAUCGGAUCACUACGACUAACCUUUCAGAAGAUAUCGGGAAAAAUAUAGAAAACUUUACAAAUUGAUUCAACAAAAUUUUCAUCAUUGACAAGCAAUUUUUUGGAGUUAUUUUCUUAUGAUUAAGUGUUUCUAACGUAGAAUGACCGGCGGAAUCUAAAUCUGCAAGAAUCGGAUCACUACGACUAACCUUUCAGAAGAUAUCGGGAAAAAUAUAGAAAACUUUACAAAUUGAUUCAACAAAAUUUUCAUCAUUGACAAGCAAUUUUUUGGAGUUAUUUUCUUAUGAUUAAGUGUAAGAUGAUGAAGAUGAUGGUUGUGGUGUUUCUUGUCGUUUCUCACGUAUGUUUUCGUUUAUAUACUGCAUUCGUUUUGGAUUAACAAUAAACGCACGUGGUACGUUGAUUUUAGAUAAAAUUUGUGAAAAAUUUUUCCAACCAGUCGGUUCAGCAGACAGUCUACUACUACUAGUACCACUUUUCAUAAGGUCAAUGAUUAUAAUUAAUUAUAUUUGAAUCAGGAAUUGUUUUACCGUCGUAAAUAACGUUACCAACUUCGUUCCAUGCAACACCAUUGCUUGUUAUAUAAUCAACUAAAACACUAGCCUUAGCUUGUAAAGUUUUCGGUAACGAUUUUAGAAAAUUUUUGUUAAGAUGAUCGGCUGCUAUUAACUUAUUAUUUUCAACAUCAACAUUUUCUUUUUCACCUGUUUCAAUCAUUGGUAUUGUUACAGGUUCACGAAAUCGAUUUAUCACUUUUAAAUAUCUUUGAAGAACUUGAUUGUACAACGUCCAUUUCUCGUUGUCGUCAAUGUGUUUCAGUUCUAUAAUUCUUCACAUUUCACGAUCCAAAUCAUUUAUGAUGUUUGGUUGAUUGCUGGUACCACUUUGCAUACGUUCAAAUACACCUGGAUCAACCAUUAUCAUUUUCUUAGCAUGCUCCAUUAUCGUUAUUUACGAAAUAAAUGACCCAAUACACCCGAUAUUAUUGGCGCUAACAAUAACGGUAAGAAGGCACCACCUUUUUGAACAAUCAACUUUUUCUUUUGCUGAACAGACAAUUUUCGAUUAACUAAAUCCCUCAACACUUUUUUAUGUUUUUUUAGUUUACUUUUUUGUACGAUUCAAUGGAACUUUACCCAACAAAGUAUUAUGAGCGCAUUCACAAAUACAAUGAACCAGAUUUUUGUCCGCUGUAUUUAAAAUUGAUUUACGAUAUUCAGGUGUUGUUUUAUGUAAGAAUUUUAAAAGAUCAGCGUUUCUUGCUAACGUUCGCGACAUCUCAAAUACAACUGAGAAAUGAAUAACACGUUUUUUAAAUUUAUACUUUUUUCAUACGUCUCUUAGGUAUAUAUGCAAAAGUAGGUGAUUCAUCGGGUAAAAUGUUUGUACGAAUACGAUAAUCAUCGGACGUAUCCUGUUUUAAAUCGAUUAACAAAUAUCCAUGCGGUUUCAUAGUCGCAUCCUUAUAAGCUUCUUGAAGAAAUUUUGUAUUUUCUGGAAAAAUCUGUCGGGCUAAAAAAUUGACUUGAGCCUUGUCACGGGGGUUUUUGAAAUAUAUAAUGUAGUUUGCAUUCAGUGAAAUGUCUCUCUGUCCUUUGCCUUGGUGGAACAGAUUUUGCGUAAUAUAAAAAACACUAAGAUUUCGAUGAUGGCUACCUUUUGUAAAUAUAUCCACAACACCACCAUUUGUUUCACGCAUUAAAUCAUCCAAAAUUAUUAACGUCGGCUUUAAACCAUCAAAUUCAGUCAUAUCAGGCAUACCUUGACGAUACUCGAUUCUUAAAUUACUAACAAUAUCAUUUUUUUCAUAUAACGGUUGCCAUUCAUCAUAAUACUAUAUCACACGAUCAAAACUUGUAUCACACAUUGAUUUCAAAUGAUUUAAGAACUGCGUUAUAAAAUGUGUUUUUCCACAACCUGAAGGGCAGUGACAAUAGCCGUGAACGGUGCUUUAAAACUAAAAAUGUUUCCGUACUUCAAUGUUUAUAUACAUUACGUAUAUAUAGAAGGUCUUCACGGAUCAAUUUAAGUACAUUUAUUUAUAUUUUUUUUAUUUAAAUUUCGUACCGAUGUUUGAAAAGCAUCCCAAACGAUAUAGCGACAAAAGGAUUAUAGGAUUUGCAGCGACAAUUAGUAACCUAGACAGUCGUCUGUCUGGCUGUUUUGAUGAAAGAAAAGAUGAUUCACCGAACCAUUAGAAAUCUUUCUCUCAAAUUUCAUCCCCUACCAACAUCACCACCACCACCACCACUACCACCUUCAAACCCUUUUUUCCUCAUUUUCAAAGCUGACUUUCGGCGACACAAGUACCUAUACAUUUUUACGUGCCAAGUGUUAAAUUGUGUGACAAAUGUUUGAUGGACAAUGUGUAAUCCUGUACUCCAGAGGGGAGUACCGUCUAACAUUUAGGCGGUUCACCACGUAUAGAGCGUUACAGGAGGAGAAUAUCCUCUGCAAGUGGUGCGCCAGGCUAGAAGAAAAAGUCUGGUACAAACAUAUGCACAUUUAUAAUGUAACACUCAAGUGUACGCGGUGUGAAACACCUAUAUUACCCCGGACACAUAUGGGGUGUCCUAGACGGAUACAUUUAGGGCGGGAAAAGGUACCCUAUAAUUCCCUUUUACGGAAAAUUGUGUUCCCGGAAUCGGACGAUGACCAGUCUGAAGAAGAAAGCGGCGUCGAGGAUGUAGAAUGAUUGUGUGGGCGAUUCUUAAAUAUAUGUUUAUUUUUAAUAACGUUUUUAUUGAACCUCUAAUAACAAGAUAAAGCUGAUGUGUGAUUAAUUUUCCGUUAAUUUGUAACUAAUUUUGAUAUAUUUUAAUUUUUUAUUGAAACCUAGGUGUAAUUCCCCGCUUAGCGACACAUUCAAAUUUACCGCUAAAAAAAAAGUGAUUUCGAAAUUGAACACUAGAUGGCGCAGAGAUCUGUCACAUUUAAAUUUCCCGCUGAAAAACUUAAACACCAGAGGGCGCCGAGAUCUGUCACAUUUAAAUUUCCCGCUAAAAUGUUUGAACACCAGAGGGCGCCAGAAAAAGUUGAUGAUCCAAUUAAUUCGUCAUUAAUUAAUUAUCGAAGGUCAAUUAAAAGAGAAAGUUUGAUAUCAAAUUUCAAUUAAAUUAAUCGGUCGUUAUCAAUUUAAUUGUCAUUAAUUAUCAAUUAAUAUGUCAUUAAUUCACUAAUUAAUUUUUAAAUGGGUCCCCCUUUCUACUUUUGGAGUUCACCAUUUCCGGUUCCGAUGUGGUUGGCUUGGGCGUCGCUGGUAUCGGUGAGGUCAAUUCCGCCGGAGGCGGAAUUCUGAUGAGCGGAACUCUUUUUGGUUUUCGGAUUUUCGUCCGAUCCCCGAUGGCAUCAAAAGUGCGCUUUGUAGGCACAGUUUUGUGAGGGAGUUUUGGCCUGGACCUCACUUUGAAAAUGGUUUGGUUCGUUUUGAGAAAAACGCUUUUUCACGCAAGGUGGAGCGCACAACUAGCACAAGUACAAGUCGCAAAGGGUUGUCGCUAAUCUGAACAGUGAAAUUGGCAUGGUUGGACGUAUUACGGUAAAUAAUGUCCGACUCAGAAACGACCCCCAGCGAUUGUAACAGCCCCCAAAUUCAAGAACUGAACAACUUGCGGCACCUCCUCAAAUUACAACGCGACAGGUACACCCAUCUCCAAAUACUAUACCAAGCUGUGGCCGAUUUUAUAUCCACUGCUGGUGCCUUGAACCCUGAACUUGCAACCAAAGUGGAAAAUAUUUUACAUGAGCAAAGUUGCCAGCAAGUUGAUGUGUUAGACAAUGAAUACACACAGUUACUAGGAUUACGAUCUUCAGGAAACAUGUCAGGCCUGAAGAUAACACGUUGGUGGUGUUGAAGAAAAAACUGGAGGAGCAACAGCAAAAGUAUUUAGAAAAUGAAUUAACUAAAGAGAAGAUUUUGGAAGAUAUUGCUAAACUACGACUGGAAAAAUUACCAAAAGUGUGUGAUGAAAAAAUAAAAGAAUGUCAAAUAAGGGCCCAAGUGGGCGAACUAAGAACGAAACUUGCGUGCGAGACUUCCAGAAUUGACGUAUUUAUGGAGAGAAGCAACUCGUUGAAAGCCUACAAGGAGCUGCUAAAGGAUAUAAAGGAGCAACAACUUGAAUGUGAGAGCGAGAUUAAACACUUGCAAAAGAUGAGGGAGAAGUACAAACAAGUGGCCUGCAAGCAGUUUGAUCAGAUUUUGAAGUCCUACGUGGAAUACAAAGCCGCGCUUUCAAGAAAGGCCCUCAACCCCAGUAUCAUCCUAAAGUCCGACACGCCAAUGUCGUAACCGAUCAGAGGAAAAUCCGAGGUCCUCAAAGUUUCUGUUAUUUCGUAUCCGAAGGGUUCCCCUACAGUCGAUUAGAGGAGGACUCCCUUCAUCAAAUGGUGUGACCUUCGGGAACCUCGUAAACGGCCAAGGACUGGACGCAGAUAAGUCCCAGAUAUCAGUUCUUCGCGAUUUUCAAUCUUUUCGUUAUAAUAUAUUAUUCGAAUUUCCUUUCUUAAAAAAAAAAUUAUUUCAAUUUUCAAAUUUUCCUUUUUAAAUUUCAAUUUUUAUGCAACUAUUAAUAAUUUUUUAUAACUUAUAAUUUCAAUUAAUGUGAGCGAGCGAAUUGGCCAAUUCUAACGUAAAGAUUCGUGUCAGUAGUUGAUUUAACCAUCAGGUCACAAGAGUAACUUUUAAUAUACGGAAUUUUAAUUGAUUAUUCAAUAGUUUUCUUAUCUCCUUCUCAGUUGGGAGCUUCGUUAUCGAUAACUGAGUGGCGCCCUUAAAAGGCUAGGUUAAAAGGAAUCUUGAACUCGCUCUCGGGGUGUCGAUCAUAAAACUGUCGGCCCGACCGGCUUAGGGUGCUUCAAAUUCUGUGGUUAAGCUGAUGUCACAACAAAGAAUGUAUUUGUGAUUUACAACAUUACCUACAUUGGUCUUACUUGAUAUUUGUAUGCCCAAAGAAGAUGUUCCCAAUUUGAACAGUUUUAUUUUAAAUUUGAAGUGUUUAUUUAAUGAAAAAGAAAAAACGUUCUAAAAUACUGGUAAAUCACGAUAAAAAGAAACUAAUUCAAGGCGUUCUCUGGAUUGUCAAUUUUUCGGAUUACUCAAUUAGUUUAAUAAAUAUAAUUUUAAUUUAAGAUUCGAUUAACAUAUAGUCGAAUUAAAAGAUUUGACUGUAGUUAGGAACGUAGGUGUUAUGCAAUGAAACAUGCGUAAAAAAAGAUUCAUAUAUUUUCAAAAAAAAAUCUAAAUACUUUUUUAACUAACAGAAAUUUCUAUAUUUCUAUCUUCCAUUGCCUUUGGAUCUAGCCAUUUUAUAAAAUGUCACUAAGCACAAACUCCACACAAUAGCACAGCGAACUGUUAAACAGUAAUUAAAAAUUACCAUAGUUUUGCACUUCUUAUAUUAGCAGAUGCUUCCUCCUACCACUUUAGGGAGAUUACAUUACAAUGUAGGGGGUUGGUGUUUUCUCUUUUGAAUAGCAAUAACUAUACUUUCCCAAGAAUGUAAAUUUUAUAAAAACGAAUAACAUAUAAUAACGAAUAACACUCUUAAAUACCUAUGGUCACUGGUAGAGUAGACAAUUAACAAAAAAAUCUUUAGGUCAAAGAACUCAAUUAUGCAAUUGCCAUUCAUCUUUUUUUACUUAAUUUUAAUUUUAUUUUUUAAUUACUAAAAAGUGUACUGUCAACAACAACAAGCAGAAAUGUCAGUUGUUAUUUACAAAAAUAAAAAAUUACGUUAUAAUUCAAAAACCAAUUACGUCAUUAAUGUUGCUAUACUGUCAUAAUCAUAAUAUAUAUAGCAUGCACACAACUGAGUCCUUUGAAAACUAAAACAUUCCUUUUCAGCAUAUUAUUUGUUAUAUUUAAAAAAAACAAAGUGUAAAUUAGGUUUUUAUUAAGAAUAACAGUGUACACUGGCGAGCACUUUUGACAUUUUACUGACAUAAUCGUGGGCAAUACUACUCUAACCUUUUUGACAAUGAAAUGACAAAUGUGUCCAAAAUUUUUUGCUCGCUAUUGUAGGUGUCAUUUUUUGACGAAACAAAGUCGUGCGAAUUUUUUUAAUUCUAUAAUUAUUAUCAUUAUUAUCAAUUUUUACAUUAAUUUGUACAGAACACAAUAGCUCCAAAGCGUUAUAGUUUAGGAAAUAGUCACGCAAUACGAAUUUACUGUUUUAAAUUAAAGUUAGUAAACAAAGCCUAAAGUUAGUUAGGGUUUUGUUAGGUGCUUCUAGAAGUGACUUUUGAUUUUUGAAAAAGAAAAACCAAAACCAAUUCAAUUUACGUUAACAAUUUCUGGGUAAUAGAAAAUUAGCCUGGUGUGUGUUCACAAAUAAAGUGCUUUCUAAAUACCAGCCUUAGAUAAAGAAAUUAUUAGAUAAACAAGUUACCUAUUAUAAUACCAAUUAUAAAUAACGUGAAACCCUUAAAUUAUUAUUAAGCGGAUAAUCCCUUUUCUGGUUACAUGGUUUAACUUUCUCUGGGUUGGUUCUUAAUCUCGACCAAAUUCCUUUUUCAACGGAAACAAAAGUCAUUAUUGUUUCGAUGAAUAAGACUAACAAGAAAGUGAGAUGUGACAAAUCUAAUCAUUUUUAGCAGGUACCUACUUUUGGGUCUGUUACUCAGACCUAGACCCUCCGGUCCCAUUGUAAAUCUUUCUGCGGAUUUGUCUAGUCAACUGCUAUAAAUCAUCGCCCAAGGAAUUUUGUGCUUCCAAUGAAUUAAAAUUUUCGCAAUAUUAAGCUUAUUUUUAAUAACAGAAAAAAAUUAAAAAUACCAAGGUGUUUAAAAUAACAAUCUCUAUCGCUUGGCCGGAGAGUUUUUUCAUUUUGAAGUCUUGGUGUCUUAAUACGUGUAUUAUUUCGAAAUCGUGUUUAUUUAAAUAGCCAUAAUUUAUUGAGCACUAGAUUUUUUAAAAUUUUCUAAUGGCCAUUUUGUAAAUAUCAUUUCUAAGAUACAUUGAGUUUUGAAACGAUGUUGAUAUCUUUUCAAAUAACUUAAUUACAGCCACAAUUCUUUUACAUUGAAAACGCCAUAAGACGAAUACGUUUAACCUAGCCUUAAGGCUCUAGACCCUCUGGGAGCUGGCGCAUACGUUUUACGUGUAAACUGUUUUUAGCCGCAAAUUUAGACUUGAAGAGUUUCUUGACAUUUGCAGUGUUUCUUUAUAAGUAAAUGUAAGUCGAAGAGUCAUUUUUGAUUGAAAUAAAUGCCUAGAUAUUUUUUUAUUAAAUAAAAUGUCUGUUUAUGAAGUUGAUACGAAUUUUUGAUAACGGUGCAUUGUAUUGAGAAUUUAAAAAAAACAUUUUAUAGGAAAUUUAAAAAUACAGACCUGAGAUAUUUUAGAUUUUUGUUAACUGUUCUUAAUUGUUAGAUAUAAUGCAAAAAUUAAAUUGUAAGUAGGCAACUUUUAAUGCAUCCUUCUUCGAAUGCGUAGCUAGCUGGAAGAAGAUUUAUGACGGGUUUAGGACGCACCGCUGGAGGUAACCACCAUUGGGGUGACCCACAAGAUAAUAAUUUUAUUGCAUUUGUUCAAGACAGAGAAAUGUAUCGGCACAAAUAGGAAUUUUAGCGAUUUCUCUAAUAGUGGUAUAAAAUUAAAGCACAUGAUUUCGGAAUUAACAUUUUUUAACAAAAUAAUUAGGUACCUAUAGAUUUGCAUUACGUUUUUUUUGUAGACACUGCUAUCAACGUAUCUUAUGAGAUUUUGAAAUACGAGUAAUCACGCUCGCUAUUUUUUUGAAUACUUUUAACAAUAAAAUUAUUCCUGUUUUAAAAAAAAUAUAAAAAAGAUGAUUAAAACUUUGGUUGUACUUAGCUUCGUUCUGCACAGGUUUUGUGAUAGAACUACUGAGCUCCCUCACCACGACAAGGUGUCAACCCACUGAGGAAGUUUUUUUUACUUUUAUUGUUCAUUCCGUUUUAGAACCCUUUCGUUGUUUUUUCCAAAAAUUACGCAUUAUUUGUUUUCGACUUUUUCUUUUUUUUUGAAAAACUUAGUUUACUAUUAUUACCCAUAAUUUUAAAUAUACAAAGAUUUCAACUAUUUACAAGUGAUAUAAUAAGAAAUUAGGAAAUACACUUACCAACCAGCAGUCGCAACAAAUAAUUAAAUAAAAAGAAAUAGAUAAAAUUGAUAUUCUGCAAAGUAACAAAUUAAAAACUACAAAUACCACUGUUUAAAAAUUACCACUUAUUACAAAACACUGUUGGGCAAGAAAGUGACCAGCACUCUGCAAAGACUCAAAGAGUAAAGAAGUUGUAGAACUAUAUGUUUUGAUUAUAUAUAAGUACCAACCACCACCCUAAACCCUCCACUAAAUACAAGUCUUAUGACUCAUGAGCUUAUGAAAAACUUUCUAAACUUUUUAAUAAACAUUUUUGUUUACAUGUAAUUUCAGUUUCAGGUACCCGAUCUUUAGCAAUGUUUACUUAUAUUUUAAAGAAAUACACAAAAUUUAUAUAACGUAAGAGUAACGCAGCUAUAUCUUCGCAAGCUAGUUAUAGAAAAAUUGUAUAAAUUUAAUAAAAAAACGAGAAAUAAUUCCUAAAUUCUAAAAUAAUACAUAAUUAUAAAAGUAUCAUUUAUUUUACUAGGCGUAACGUAAACAAAUUAUAUCCCUAAGACUGGAUCUUACAAUCUCUCGAUACGUUAUUUGUACUAUAAUUAUUACUGGGUAUAGUUACAAUAAAUUUUUACAACAAUGUAUUUUUCAGAAUUUAUUACCUGGAUAAAAUUAUCAGACGAAAAAGCGGGUUUAAAGAAGUUUUCAUCAUUUUAAUGAGAUAUUCCUAGUAACUUUUUUAAAGUUAAACUGUUUUCUGAAAGAACAAUAAUGUUUCACCAAUUAAUUUUUUUAUUUUAUAUUUUUUCAAUGCAAGUGAUCCAAUUAGAAAUGCACAUGACACAUAAUAUAGCGAACAGAAUUCGGUUAAUUAAAACAUAAAACCCAAUAAAUAAAUGGUGUAAUGGUGUAUUAUUUUUUACAAAACUAUGCUAGUAUUUUAUUAUUCUUUAGUAUCAAAUUUUUUUAACAAAAUAAAAAACGUAUUUUUCACUGUAUGUUGCUUGAAUCUCUGAAAUAAGAGAAACUAUCGUGGGCGAUAGUGGAAUUCAGUUUGUUUACAUUAUUUGCAUUUUAUGAGAAGGGACAAGACACCCCGAGGCGAAGGUCGGAUGCCUAUCCGAUGAUUGACAACUGUCACUGAAAACAGGUCUAAAAAAAGUAUGCAACUUGUAGUACACCAAUUCUCAACAAUCGCUUCGGUACCCUGAAGCGAUUCUGAAUUCUGGGAAUACCCGAAGGUGUUAUAAUCAUAACAAACACGCGUUAUUUAAGUUAUUAUUCAAAGAUUAUUUAAAAAUUGAUACCUAUUUGGUGAUAUAAACAAUAAACAAAAACAUACAAGUAUAAAAAUUACAAUUUUAAUAAAAAAAAACAUCAAAAUUAAGCAACAUAUAGGCUGACCCAGGGAUUGGAAAACUCCGUUUUUGACUCUUAAAUAAUUGAGAAAUAAAUAGUAAAAAUUACUUCCAAAUAUACAGAGUGUUUCCGAAAUGAGCUACAAUAUAAACUUAUGUUUUUUUUUAAAUGAAACCCUAAAUUUUGGUGCAUUUGCAUUAAUAAUUUUUUAACUUUAAUAAUAAUUUUGAUCUAAACUUGCAUUGGUCGAUUCUGUUUAGUUUUUAAAAUAAUUUAUUUUUUUUGACGAAAACACGUUAUUUUUAAAUGUAUUUCACAAAAACUAAUAAUCCUAGAAAAUUUAGACUUUCACCAUUUUAAAUGUUAAAGUUUAAUUUUUGGCAAAACUUUGAAAAAUGGGUGAGCUCUCUUGAAAAAAAAUCUGCGUUCAUAUAUAUUAUGAUCUUUUGGUCUGUUUCAGCGAAAUUACGCAAUUACUAUAAAAAAAAUACUUUCGAAAAAUGUAACAGAAACCUAAAUCAUAGAAGACAAAAACAGUGACGCUAAAACUAUGGAAUAAUUCUAUUAAAACUAUAAUUUAUUUUGUUGUGGAUAAAAUGCUCGAACAGAUAUUUUUUAAAAGUAAGCCAUUCCCAAUAUUAUUAUUUCGAUUUUUUUUAAAUAAAAACCCCUAAUUUUUUUAGACGCAUCCAUGUAGUAUCUGAUGUAUCAUGGCUCAAAAAAUUAAAUGCUACAUCAUAAUAUUUCCACAAUAAAAAUAUAAAAAAAAUAUUUAACAAAAAAAAUACAAUUUUUACAUAGCCAUCCUCCAACCUCUUCACAAUGAUAAUCAUGUAAACAAAAUUUUCUUGUACUUCAGUCCAGAAAAGUUUGUAAUAAUGUACAUUUAUAAACAACUUCCGGACUAAUAUUUUUUGAAUCUUUUAAAUUGAUUGUCAAUUAAGAGAAAAACUAAAGGAUUGGUUGCACUUUUGCAUCAAACAAAUAUCAAACUAUUUUGACUACAAAAAAUUCUUAAGAAACAUUAGGCUAAUAUGUUUCAAUUUAUUCCCACUUUCUUGUGAUACUACUAACGAACAUAAUGACCAAAUGUAAUAAUUUCUGCUUGUUAAGUAACUUUUAUUUUAUUUUAAUUUAAAUUCAGAUAUCCAUAAGAAUAACAUUAAAGUUAUUAUUAGCUGAAAAUUUUAUUUAAUGUUUAAGGUUAAAUAUAUUUUGAGUAAUUAGUAAAAGAUGGCUUCAUUUUUUAAAUUGUAUGUCCUUUCACUAUGAACUUCUUUCUUUUCAGUGGUGAAGAUCCUACUUUUCUAGGAUUCCUAGUUUUUAUAAAAUAUUUUUUUAAAGCGUGUAAAACAUCAGUGUUCCAAAAAUGCAAAAAAUAGGGUGUUCCAUUUAAAAAAAGUAUUGUAGCUAAUUUCGAAAACAGCCUGUAUCUGCUCUUGAGAAUAAUUUUAAGUGAAUCAGGGGGUCAGUAUCUUCCAGUUUUUCUAAAAAACAAGAUUAAUAUUUAAUUUUUAUAUUGUGGCACAUCCAAGUAACAAUUUGGAUGCUGUUUAAAAACCACCUACGGUUUUGUAAAAGUUUUAUGAAGGUAGUUUGUAGUUAAGUUGCUGUAAAAUAAUCUUGUCUACAGGUAUUGUCAGCCAAUUCUUCUCAUCAAGGAAUAUUAAAAUCAUAAAUUCUUAAGAUAGUUUAACAAAAGUUUUAUAACAUUCUUAUAAUUUCCUUGUAGUCAUGUUUAAAACUUUUUACUUCAGGACAAUUUUAUUUGGUCAAUAGAGGUAAUAAAACCAUAAUUACUUCUUAAGUGUUUAUUUAAUCAAAAUACAGGGUGCUCAAUAACUGGCGCACCAACUCAGUGGUACGUUGUUGAGAAGCAUGUGUAGAUCACAGGAAAAAUCUUGAAAAAAUUCCUAAAGUCAUAUUUUAAAAAAAUCUGGAGCUACAAACUUAUUUUGUUAACUUUUUCAGUUUUCAUUAUUUUUUAAUGUUUUUAUGUUUCACACUAAGUAAUCGUUUCCCAACACAACGAUGAAUAACUAUUUUUAAAUUUCCCAUCAGACUUUAGCAGUUUUUUUAAUUUAAAAAAAUUAUAAUUUAUCAAAAAAAUCACAGUUUGUAGAUGUGCCAACACUGGAAAUUAUUUCCUAGGAAACCGUUUCAAAAAUAAUUUAUUUUUAUUGUUGAUAAAAUUCUUUUGCGAUCACGACUGUUAGACAACGUUGCCACAUAUCAUUUAUUUAAAUUUCGUUAUUUAUCAAUAACUUUAAUGCAAAGAUUUUUUUUACUAUAUUUACCUUUUUAUGUGAGCAACUCUUUACCACACUCCAUUGAGUUGGUGCGCCGGUUUUUGAGCACCCGGUAUAAAUCAAACAGUUACCUUUAAAAUUAAAACUUAAACCAGCUCUGCUUUGAACACAGUUAAAAUUUCUGACGGGAAACAUUUAACCAGACUUAUAAUUUAUAAUAGAAUCAUCUUAAAACUAAGUUGUUUUUUAAAGGUUCUGUCUAGAAGUUUUUUUUAUCUGAAUAAAUAAUAUGUCUUAUAGCGGUUUUUAUAAAAAUUAUUUACACUUAGCUAAAACUUAUUUACUUACUUUUAUUGAGAGUUAAUUUUCUUCUAAAUAAUUUUACACUGAUCAUGUAGUUUUAUGAAUUCAGCAGACAUAUUUUACUGCUAUUUGACUUAAAAUUGAAAAAUAUGCACUUUUUAAACAUUAAAGAAAUGGUAGUAAUUUUUGUUUUUUGCUUUUGUCAGCAGUAAAACUUAGGAUAUCACUCAAAAAAUCUACUAGAAUCAAUUUAAAGAAUGAACGCACAUUUUUUUGCGUUUAACGAACAAACCCUUCCUACGAUUUUAAUGAAAACACAAAUCAACAUUAAGCAACACCUAGUAAGUAUUUUAAAGAAAAAAUAACUCGUGGUUAUCAAAUUUGAAAAAAAAUCGACUUGGCAACACAAAAAAACUCACCAAAUUUGAUGUUAUGGUUUGUCUGAAGCAGCAUUGGUAAUUUUUUACUUUAACUACUUCUGGAUUUUCAAGCUGAAACUUACGCCAAACUAUUCCUCUGAGUGCCCUGAUGACCGUACACUAUGAAUUUUCUUGUGCAAAUUGAAAAUAACAUUAGAAAAAUAAUUUUUAUUUUCACUCACUUUUCACUUGAAUCGCCAUUUUUGUUGAUUUUAAGGGAUACAACGUUUGCCACCACGGUGUGCAUGCGUUGCGUGUGCUUAUUUCUGAUUGGUUGUUAUUGUUUAGCUUCAACAGGUAAGAAUCGCACCUGCGUGUUUGUUAUGAUUAUAACACCUUCGGGUAUUCCCAGAAUGAAUUUAAAUGACGUAUUAUACCUUUUUCAUUAAAAAGUAGGUGUAUUUUUUCAUAUUUUGCAAUUUGAAUUUAUGUCACUGUGCUCUGAUUGACGGAAGUGGGGAUGCAUUCCCGCAUUUCCCUUCAUGCAAUUUACCAACAACACCGUGGUGUAUAUUUCCUUUUAGUUAGCUGGGGCGCAGCCCCAGCCUCCGGCCACGAAUUGUACGGCGCCCUUUCUCUAUAAAAUACACUAUUCCACGUGUCGAGUUCCACGGUUUCGAGUUUAAUUGUUCGUGGGGUAUGUUUAUUUUUAGUUCGCUGGGGCGAAGCCCCAGCCUGUACCCUAAGACCUGUACGCGCUGUAGCUCCAUAAAAAUCACUAUUCCACAUUUCGAGUUCAACAUUUUCGAGUUUAAUCGUCCGUGGGGUAUGUUUAUUUUUAGUAUUUUUACUUUAGCUACUUCUGGAUUUUUGAAAAUUUUUUUUUUGCAUUUUGCUUUAAAAAGCCUCUAGAUCAAAGAUAUGAACAUGAAAGUUUGUGCAAAUGCCCCGUUUUCGAAAAAUUCGGCUUUGAAUGACCUUGAUCUAGACUUUUUAAAUUUUAUUAACACUCUAAUAAAUGGUAUUAACCGUAAAUGUAACUAUAAAUGAGGCAAGGCGCCUACAGAUGAUAGCCCGGAGGCUGGGGCUUUGCCCCAGCGACCUAAAAAUAAAUUUAGUUGAAUCAAUUUGUAAAGUUUUCUCUAUUUUUGCCGAUAUCUUCUGAACGGUUAGUCGUAGCGAUCUGAUUCUUGCAGAUCUGGAUUCCGCCGGUCAUUCUACGUUAGAAACACUUAAUCAUAAGAAAAUAGCUCCAAAAAAUUGCUUGUCAAUGAUGAAAAUUUAGUUGAAUAAAUUUGUAAAGUUUUCUCUAUUUUUGCCGAUAUCUUCUGAACGGUUAGUCGUAGCGAUCUGAUUCUUGCAGAUCUGGAUUCCGCCGGUCAUUCUACGUUAGAAACACUUAAUCAUAAGAAAAUAACUCCAAAAAAUUGCUUGUCAAUGAUGAAAAUUUAGUUGAAUAAAUUUGUAAAGUUUUCUCUAUUUUUGCCGAUAUCUUCUGAACGGUUAGUCGUAGCGAUCAGAUUCUUGCAGAUCUGGAUUCCGCCGGUCAUUCUACGUUAGAAACACUUAAUCAUAAGAAAAUAACUCCAAAAAAUUGCUUGUCAAUGAUGAAAAUUUAGUUGAAUAAAUUUGUAAAGUUUUCUCUAUUUUUCCCGAUAUCUUCUGAACGGUUAGUCGUAGCGUUCAGAUUUUUGCAGAUUUGGAUUCCGCCGGUCAUUCUACGUUAGAAACACUUAAUCGUAAGAAAAUAACUCCAAAAAAUUGCUUGUCAAUGUUGAAAAUUUAGUUGAAUCAAUUUGUAAAGUUUUCUAUAUUUUUGCCGAUAUCUUCUGAACGGUUAGUCGUAGCGUUCAGAUUUUUGCAGAUUUGGAUUCCGCCGGUCAUUCUACGUUAGAAACACUUAAUCAUAAAAAAAUAACUUCAAAAAAUUGCUUGUCAAUGUUGAAAAUUUAGUUGAAUCAAUUUGUAAAGUUUUCUCUAUUUUUGCCGAUAUCUUCUGAACGGUUAGCCGUAGCGUUCAGAUUCUUGCAGUUUUGGAUUCCGCCGGUCAUUCUACGUUAGAAACACUUAAUCGUAAGAAAAUAACUCCAAAAAAUUGCUUGUCAAUGUUGAAAAUUUAGUUGAAUCAAUUUGUAAAGUUUUCUAUAUUUUUGCCGAUAUCUUCUGAACGGUUAGUCGUAGCGUUCAGAUUUUUGCAGAUUUGGAUUCCGCCGGUCAUUCUACGUUAGAAACACUUAAUCAUAAGAAGAUAACUCCAAAAAAUUGCUUGUCAAUGUUGAAAAUUUAGUUGAAUCAAUUUGUAAAGUUUUCUCUAUUUUUGCCGAUAUCUUCUGAACGGUUAGCCGUAGCGUUCAGAUUCUUGCAGUUUUGGAUUCCGCCGGUCAUUCUACGUUAGAAACACUUAAUCGUAAGAAAAUAACUCCAAAAAAUUGCUUGUCAAUGUUGAAAAUUUAGUUGAAUCAAUUUGUAAAGUUUUCUCUAUUUUUGCCGAUAUCUUCUGAACGGUUAGCCGUAGCGUUCAGAUUCUUGCAGUUUUGGAUUCCGCCGGUCAUUCUACGUUAGAAACACUUAAUCGUAAGAAAAUAACUCCAAAAAAUUGCUUGUCAAUGUUGAAAAUUUAGUUGAAUCAAUUUGUAAAGUUUUCUAUAUUUUUGCCGAUAUCUUCUGAACGGUUAGUCGUAGCGUUCAGAUUCUUGCAGUUUUGGAUUCCGCCGGUCAUUCUACGUUAGAAACACUUAAUCAUAAGAAAAUAACUCCAAAAAAUUGCUUCUCAAUGAUGAAAAUUUAGUUGAAUAAAUUUGUAAAGUUUUCUCUAUUUUUGCCGAUAUCUUCUGAACGGUUAGUCGUAGCGUUCAGAUUCUUGCAGUUUUGGAUUCCGCCGGUCAUUCUACGUUAGAAACACUUAAUCGUAAGAAAAUAACUCCAAAAAAUUGCUUGUCAAUGUUGAAAAUUUAGUUGAAAACCAGCUGAAGUUACAAACGGAACAGAUGAAAAAAAAAUUACAAAACGCAAUAAAGCAGAACCUGUAAGCGUUGAAAAUGUCGAGGAAACUGUUGCACCUAAAGCAUGGGAAAACAAGGCUACAUCUUCCAAGAAGGAAAAUACUAAAGUACCACCUGCUGAACCAGCUGAAGUUACAAACGGAACAGAUGAAAAAAAAAUUACAAAACGCAAUAAAGCAGAAGUGAGUAUAUUGCCACCAAGUUUUAAUUGUUUUACAAAUUAAGAUCUGUUCUAGCCCGUAAGUGCUGAAAGUAAGGAGGAACCUAAGGCAGAGAAAACUAAGGGUAAAACUGCCAAGAAGGCAGACAGUGGAAAUAAAGAAGAAACCCAAGUGGAAGAAGCGAAAAAACCUCAAACACGCACAGGUCUUGCUACUAAGAGAGAGUUUGUACAAAGUACAAAGGGGCCUAAAAAUUCGACAGU